RNAcentral lists this ribosomal RNA (425 nucleotides) under uncultured Sulfitobacter sp. Its description in RNAcentral is "bacterial SSU rRNA". It matches the Rfam family "Bacterial small subunit ribosomal RNA", at positions 52 to 523 of the family's 1533-position model. The record is from RNAcentral. Lineage: Bacteria; Pseudomonadati; Pseudomonadota; Alphaproteobacteria; Rhodobacterales; Roseobacteraceae.
UACCAUGCAGUCGAGCGAGACCUUCGGGUCUAGCGGCGGACGGGUUAGUAACGCGUGGGAACGUGCCCUUCUCUGCGGAAUAGCCACUGGAAACGGUGAGUAAUACCGCAUACGCCCUUCGGGGGAAAGAUUUAUCGGAGAAGGAUCGGCCCGCGUUAGAUUAGAUAGUUGGUGGGGUAACGGCCUACCAAGUCUACGAUCUAUAGCUGGUUUUAGAGGAUGAUCAGCAACACUGGGACUGAGACACGGCCCAGACUCCUACGGGAGGCAGCAGUGGGGAAUCUUAGACAAUGGGCGCAAGCCUGAUCUAGCCAUGCCGCGUGUGUGAUGAAGGUCUUAGGAUCGUAAAGCACUUUCGCCAGGGAUGAUAAUGACAGUACCUGGUAAAGAAACCCCGGCUAACUCCGUGCCAGCAGCCGCGGUAA